GAUCCUGCUCAGGAUGAACGCUAGCGGCAGGCUUAACACAUGCAAGUCGAGGGGCAGCGGGGUGUAGCAAUACACCGCCGGCGACCGGCGCACGGGUGAGUAACGCGUAUGCAACUUGCCUAUCAGAGGGGGAUAACCCGGCGAAAGUCGGACUAAUACCGCAUGAAGCAGGGAUCCCGCAUGGGAAUAUUUGCUAAAGAUUCAUCGCUGAUAGAUAGGCAUGCGUUCCA
Molecule: ribosomal RNA, 230 nt
Filed under: uncultured bacterium
Lineage: Bacteria
Description: partial 16S ribosomal RNA
Rfam family: Bacterial small subunit ribosomal RNA
Source: RNAcentral